RNAcentral lists this ribosomal RNA (538 nucleotides) under Pelobates fuscus (common spadefoot toad). RNAcentral describes it as "partial 16S ribosomal RNA". It matches the Rfam family "Bacterial large subunit ribosomal RNA", at positions 1854 to 2597 of the family's 2925-position model. The record is from RNAcentral. Lineage: Eukaryota; Metazoa; Chordata; Amphibia; Anura; Pelobatidae.
CCGCCUGCCCAGUGACUAUAUGUUCAACGGCCGCGGUAUUCUGACCGUGCGAAGGUAGCGUAAUCACUUGUCUUUUAAAUAAAGACUGGUAUGAAUGGCCUCACGAGAGCCUUACUGUCUCCCUUAUUUAAUCAGUGAAACUGAUCUUCCCGUGCAGAAGCGGGAAUUUUAUCAUAAGACGAGAAGACCCCAUGGAGCUUAAAACCUAAAAUUACCUGCUCAAACAUAUUUCCUACGGGACCACCCUUUAGCCUUGCAGAAAAUAAUUUAAGUUUUCGGUUGGGGUGACCACGGAGAAAAAUAAAUCCUCCUUGAUGAAUAAUUAAUUUAAACCACGAGCCACUGCUCUAAGUAUUAGAACUUCUAACUAAAUUGAUCCAAUAAUUUUGAUCAACGGACCAAGUUACCCUGGGGAUAACAGCGCAAUCUAUUUCAAGAGUCCAUAUCGACAAAUGGGUUUACGACCUCGAUGUUGGAUCAGGGUAUCCCAGUGGUGCAGCCGCUACUAAAGGUUCGUUUGUUCAACGAUUAAAACCCU